GGGGUCCUCCCCCAAGCUUAUCCUUUGCUUAUGGCUCACUUUUUAUUUUGUUUUUGACGAUGUAGAUUUAGCUUCUGGGACUGGUACCUUCUUUCGCCAUACCAUCUUGGCCUUCUUUGGUAAUGUGGGAGUGGUUUUUGGGAUGUUUACGUUGGGUUGCCAGGCCUUCUUCUUCAUCUCUGGUGGGGCAAAUGCGACUUCAACCUUUCUGUUCAUCUUUGGUGGAGCUUCAAAUUUUCUUGGAACUUUUUCCUAUCCUGGUGCCUUCUUUAUCCUUAUCUUUUCAACCUCUUUAUGAGUUCCCUUACCCUUUUUCUCCGAAUUUUUCUUGUUGGUCUUCACAAGUUGGUGCUGGAUGUACACCUCUUGUAGUCCUUGGGGAUUACGACUGUACUUAAUGUGGAUCAUUGAACAUUGCUCUUUUCUAGGUUUGAAGGAGAAUUUUUCUUCUUUUCAUGGAUGUUGAAGCUGAUUUCUCCUUAUGCAACAUCGAUCUGUGU
RNAcentral lists this long non-coding RNA (500 nucleotides) under Sorghum bicolor (sorghum). RNAcentral describes it as "long non-coding RNA (SBIC_LNC014540)". The record is from RNAcentral. Lineage: Eukaryota; Viridiplantae; Streptophyta; Magnoliopsida; Poales; Poaceae.